This 455-nucleotide ribosomal RNA is filed under the name uncultured organism. RNAcentral describes it as "partial 16S ribosomal RNA". It matches the Rfam family "Bacterial small subunit ribosomal RNA", at positions 329 to 800 of the family's 1533-position model. The record is from RNAcentral.
ACGUACACUCCUACGGGAGGCAGCAGUGGGGAAUAUUGGACAAUGGGCGCAAGCCUGAUCCAGCCAUGCCGCGUGAGUGAUGAAGGCCCUAGGGUUGUAAAGCUCUUUCACCGGUGAAGAUAAUGACGGUAACCGGAGAAGAAGCCCCGGCUAACUUCGUGCCAGCAGCCGCGGUAAUACGAAGGGGGCUAGCGUUGUUCGGAUUUACUGGGCGUAAAGCGCACGUAGGCGGACUAUUAAGUCAGGGGUGAAAUCCCGGGGCUCAACCCCGGAACUGCCUUUGAUACUGGUAGUCUUGAGUUCGAGAGAGGUGAGUGGAAUUCCGAGUGUAGAGGUGAAAUUCGUAGAUAUUCGGAGGAGCACCAGUGGCGAAGGCGGCUCACUGGCUCGAUACUGACGCUGAGGUGCGAAAGCGUGGGGAGCAAACAGGAUUAGAAACCCUGGUAGUCCCAUGA